Molecule: ribosomal RNA, 486 nt
Filed under: uncultured bacterium
Lineage: Bacteria
Description: partial 16S ribosomal RNA
Rfam family: Bacterial small subunit ribosomal RNA
Source: RNAcentral
AUUGAACGCUGGCGGCAUGCCUUACACAUGCAAGUCGAACGGCAGCACGGGUGCUUGCACCUGGUGGCGAGUGGCGAACGGGUGAGUAAUACAUCGGAACAUGUCCUGUAGUGGGGGAUAGCCCGGCGAAAGCCGGAUUAAUACCGCAUACGAUCUACGGAUGAAAGCGGGGGCCCUUCGGGCCUCGCGCUAUAGGGUUGGCCGAUGGCUGAUUAGCUAGUUGGUGGGGUAAAGGCCUACCAAGGCGACGAUCAGUAGCUGGUCUGAGAGGACGACCAGCCACACUGGGACUGAGACACGGCCCAGACUCCUACGGGAGGCAGCAGUGGGGAAUUUUGGACAAUGGGCGAAAGCCUGAUCCAGCAAUGCCGCGUGUGUGAGGAAGGCCUUCGGGUUGUAAAGCACUUUUGUCCGGAAAGAAAUCCUUGGCCCUAAUACGGUCGGGGGAUGACGGUACCGGAAGAAUAAGCACCGGCUAACUACGUG